RNAcentral lists this unclassified non-coding RNA (321 nucleotides) under soil metagenome. RNAcentral describes it as "partial contains 5.8S ribosomal RNA, internal transcribed spacer 2, and large subunit ribosomal RNA". The stretch from base 1 to 120 matches the Rfam family "5.8S ribosomal RNA", at positions 35 to 154 of the family's 154-position model. The record is from RNAcentral.
GAUGAAGAACGCAGCGAAAUGCGAUAAGUAAUGUGAAUUGCAGAAUUCAGUGAAUCAUCGAAUCUUUGAACGCACCUUGCGCCCUUUGGUAUUCCGAAGGGCAUGCCUGUUUGAGUGUCAUGAAACCUCACCCCACUUGGGUUUUUGCCUGAGCGGUGGUGUAUUGGGUGUUGCCUUGCUAAGGCUCGCCUUAAAGACAUAAGCACCUUGGAUGUAAUACGUUUCAUCCUUCUGGGUGGCUGAUAACCCCACAUAUUCAUGAUCUGGCCUCAAAUCAGGUAGGGCUACCCGCUGAACUUAAGCAUAUCAAUAAGCGGAGGA